AAACAAGAGUUUGAUCCUGGCUCCGAAUGAACGCUAGCGAUAGGCCUAACACAUGCAAGUCGAACGCAUACUUUAGAGUAUGAGUGGCAGACGGGUGAGUAACGCGUGAGACAUCUACCUUACAGCCCGGUAUAAAUAUCUAUAUAGAGGCGAAAAUCUUUAUAUAUGAGUGAAUCCCGGAUAUUUUGAAUAAAAAAAAAGGCAAAGAACCGUUGUAAGAUGAGCUCGCGUAGGAUUAGGUAGUUGGUAAGGUAAAAGCUUAUCCAAGCCGAUGAUCCUUAGCUAGUUCUGAGAGGAUGAUCAGCCACACUGGGACUGAGACACGGCCCAGACGCUUUCGAGCGGCAGCAGUGAGGAAUUUUGGACAAUGGGCGAAAGCCUGAUCCAGCUAUAUCGCAUGAAUGAAGAAGGCUCAAUUGGUUGUAAAAUUCAUAGUUUCAUUGUAGAUUAUGACAUUGAUGAAAUGAAUAGUCCCGGCCAACUCCGUGCCAGCAGCCGCGGUAAUACGGGGGGGGCGAGCGUUAUUCGAAAUGAUUGGGCGUAAAGAGCACGUAGACGGUUUUUUAAGUGGACAUUAUAUCUUUUUUGUUCUCUAAGGAUAAAAAAGAAAGGAUUAUGGAAAUAUUUCUGUACUCGGGAAAAAGACCAAGGCUCAACCAUGGUGUUUCCCGCCAAACUAAAAAACUAGAGUAAGUUAGAGGAAAGUGGAAUUCCUGGAGGAAAGGUUAAAUUUUAUGAUAUCAGGAGGAACGCCCAAAGCGUAGGCAACUUUCUACUGCUUAACUGACGUUGAGGUGCGAAAGCAUGGGGAUCAAAGGGGAUUAGAUACCCCUGUAGUCCAUGCCGUCAACUAUGAGAAUUCACUCUUAGAACACUGUGUAUUCCUUUGAACGAUGGGUUUUUUCUCAUCAAUCAAAGGAAUACGCAGUUCGUUUUAGGGGUUCUAGCUAACGCGUUAAAUUCUCCGCCUGAGGAGUACGACCGCAAGGUUAAAACUCAAAGGAAUAGACGGGGGCUCACACAAGUGGUGGAACAUGUGGUUUAAUUCGACACAACGCGCAAAACCUUACCAGCCCUUGACAUAAGCUUGAAUACAUCUUUUAUCGGAUAAUUAUACAGUUUACAGGCGUUGCAUGGCUGUCGUCAGCUCGUGUCGUGAAACCAAUAUAUAAAAAAAUAAUCGCGACCUAGAGGAGUGAUCCUCUAGUAAAAUCCAACUCAUAACGGUGGAACCCUUGUGUAAAGGCAUUGAUUUACAGAUAUAUCAAAAUAAGCAAGGGCAAUACCGUGGGAAGUCGAUAGAUAAUGUAUUCUUUUGUUUUACGUAGUAAAACAACAAAAAUAAUAAAAGAAAGAUCUAUCCUUUUUUGUAUUAAAAAAAUACAAAAAUCCACCAAAAAAAAGGUAUUAUAAACGAACAUUUUUUUGUGUGCUAUCUUCAUAUAUUAUAUUCUUAUAGACUUUAUAUAUAUAUAACUUUCUUUCAUUAUCUAAACAUAAUACUGUAAUAUUUGACCCCGUAACGACUUUGUUAUUUUUUUUACAAAAAAAGGCAAGAUAUCGGAUCUUAUUGAAUAUAAAAAUUGAAUAUGCCGGUAUAACACGUUGGCUCUUGUAACACUAUUUUGAAAAAGAUAGUAACAAGAUGAAGGUAUAGUCUAUUCCUUA
RNAcentral lists this ribosomal RNA (1668 nucleotides) under uncultured Trebouxia photobiont. RNAcentral describes it as "bacterial SSU rRNA". The stretch from base 6 to 1343 matches the Rfam family "Bacterial small subunit ribosomal RNA". Lineage: Eukaryota; Viridiplantae; Chlorophyta; Trebouxiophyceae; Trebouxiales; Trebouxiaceae. The record is from RNAcentral.